ACUUUUGGCUCGAAUUUAGGUUUUAUUCAGUUCAACUGAAUGAAUUAAAAGGGAAUCUGGUGCGAAAUUCAUUUUCUAAUCCAGAACUGUUCCCGCAACUGUAAGCUACAACGCUUGUUAUAACCUUCAAAGUCACUAGAUCUAAUUUUCUGGGAAGACGCAUAACAAGACGCAAGUCAGGAGACCUGCCAAAUUCAAACAUAGAAG
RNAcentral lists this non-coding RNA (207 nucleotides) under Formosa sp. Lineage: Bacteria; Pseudomonadati; Bacteroidota; Flavobacteriia; Flavobacteriales; Flavobacteriaceae. The record is from RNAcentral.